AUCAUCUACACCGACGAGGAGGCCUACUGGCGCCGAGGUACCCAGGCGUGGGACCUCCAGGGCGACGCUAAUACGGCAUACUUCCAACUUUCCGCAAUUGCUAAUAGGCGUUGCAACACCAUCCCCCUCCUUUAGGACGGUGAUGACCUCCUCCAAUGGCCGUCUGACAUUCGCGCCCACGUCGAUUGAUUCUACAAAACCCUCUUCUCCCACUCCCCUAGGGGAGGAGUGGCCCUUGCUCCUAAUACUUGGACGGGCCACCAGCUUGUUUAGACAGUGGAUAACGCCGCCCUCACGGCCCCUUUUGCCGAGGAGGUCCUGGCGGCCAUUAAUGCCAUGAAUCCGGCAUCCGCCUCGGAGCCCGAUGGUCUCCCGAUGAAGUUCUUCCAGUCCUUCUGGAGUGUCAUCAAGCCAGAAGUUAUGGCACUGUUUGAGGAGUUCUAUGUGGGCUCCAUAGACCUUACCCGGCUUAAUUACGGGAUUAUCACUCUAAUCCCCAGUGUGCCCGGGGCCUCAGACAUCCGCCAAUUUCGCCAGAUCACGGUGAUAAAUGUGAUCUUCCACAGUCUGGCAAAGGGGUACGCCUAUAGGGUGAUCGAUCCCAACCAAUCGGCCUUCAUCCAAGACCGAUACAUCUUGGAUGGGGUCUUGGUUUUCCAUGAGGUCCUUCAUGAGGUCCAUGCUAGACAACAGAAGGCGAUCUUCUGA
Molecule: ribosomal RNA, 708 nt
Filed under: Triticum aestivum (bread wheat)
Lineage: Eukaryota; Viridiplantae; Streptophyta; Magnoliopsida; Poales; Poaceae
Description: partial small subunit ribosomal RNA
Source: RNAcentral